Molecule: ribosomal RNA, 491 nt
Filed under: uncultured bacterium
Lineage: Bacteria
Description: partial 16S ribosomal RNA
Rfam family: Bacterial small subunit ribosomal RNA
Source: RNAcentral
AGUGAACGCUGGCGGUAAGCCUAACACAUGCGAGUCGAACGGCAGCACAGUAAGAGCUUGCUCUUACGGGUGGCGAGUGGCGGACGGGUGAGGAAUACAUCGGAAUCUACUUUUUCGUGGGGGAUAACGUAGGGAAACUUACGCUAAUACCGCAUACGACCUACGGGUGAAAGCAGGGGAUCUUCGGACCUUGCGCGAUUGAAUGAGCCGAUGUCGGAUUAGCUAGUUGGCGGGGUAAAGGCCCACCAAGGCGACGAUCCGUAGCUGGUCUGAGAGGAUGAUCAGCCACACUGGAACUGAGACACGGUCCAGACUCCUACGGGAGGCAGCAGUGGGGAAUAUUGGACAAUGGGCGCAAGCCUGAUCCAGCCAUACCGCGUGGGUGAAGAAGGCCUUCGGGUUGUAAAGCCCUUUUGUUGGGAAAGAAAAGCAGCAGGUUAAUACCCCGCUGUUCUGACGGUACCCAAAGAAUAAGCACCGGCUAACUUCGU